AUGCCACGUGGCUCAGCAGGCUGCAGAGUCUGGACGGAGUUUGCUCACUUAAAAUCUCUGCCCCGGGGGCCCGGGCGGCUCUGCGGGUUAGAGGCCCACUCUGGAUCCUCACUCGUGACCAUGAGUCACGACCACAGGGUUCCGACCCGGAGCCCGGCCCUGCUGGGCACCUGGGGCGGGGCAGGGAGGCGGCAAGUUCUCUCCCACCCCCAAAAAACCCCCCCAAAUUUCUGUCCUGCACUGUACAGCUGUGGCCCCGUACCAGGGGCUGGCACUUCUCUGGCGGCUGGGACAGGGUCCCCGGUCUCCACGGAGCCGCGGCAAGGGCUGGCUGGCCGCAGGCCUCGGGAGGGUCACGCCCUCCUGAUUCACCUCCCUGGGGGCCCGCGGGCAAGGCCAGCCAGCCCCGCCCAGAACCCGCGGCCCCACGGCGGGCAAAGUGCGCUGGCGACGCCUCCCGCACGCACCUGGCCCCCGCCCCGCGGGCACGCACCUGGCCCUCGCCCCCGCCACGCACGCACUUGGCCCCGCUCCGCCCGGCACGCACCUGGCCCUCGCCAGGAUCAGCAACGCACCUGGCCCUCGCCCCGCACGCACCUGGCCCCUGCCCCGCCCCACACGCACCUGGCCCUCGCCCCGACCAGCAACGCACCUGGCCCUCGCCCCGCCCCGCACGCACCUGGCCCUCGCCCCGCCACGCACGCACCUGGCCCUCGCCCCGCCCCGCAGGCACCUGACCUCUGCCCCUAUCAGCAACGUACCUGGCCCUCGCCCCGCCCCUCACGCACCUGGCCCUCGCCCCGACCAGCAACGCACCUGGCCUCUGCCCCAUCAGCAACGCACCUGGCCCUCGCCCCGCCCCGCACGCACCUGGCCCUCGCCCCGACCAGCAACGCACCUGGCCCUCGCCCCGCCCCGCACGCACCUGGCCCUCGCCCCGACCAGCAACGCACCUGGCCCUCGCCCCGCCACGCACGCACCUGGCCCUCGCCCCGCCCCGCACGCACCUGGCCCUCGCCCGGACCAGCAACGCACCUGGCCCCGCCCCGCCGCAGCUCGGCGACCACGCUGCCCUGGGCUCGCCCCGCCCCUCCCCUCCCCUCCCCGCCCCGCCCCGCCCCCGCCCCGCCCCGCCGGCGCCCGAGGCCCGAGGCCCGAGGCCCCAGCCUCCGCCGUCCCUACUGA
RNAcentral lists this long non-coding RNA (1185 nucleotides) under Canis lupus familiaris (dog). RNAcentral's name for it is "lncRNA (ENSCAFG00030008797.1)". Lineage: Eukaryota; Metazoa; Chordata; Mammalia; Carnivora; Canidae. The record is from RNAcentral.